CAGACUUAACACAUGCAAGUCGAGGGGCAGCAUGAAGGUUAGCAAUAACUUUUGAUGGCGACCGGCGCACGGGUGCGUAACGCGUAUGUAACCUACCUCAAACGAGGGGCAUAACACUGAGAAAUUGGUACUAAUUCCCCAUAACACCUUGGAGGGCAUCCUUUAGGGUUGAAAGUUCCGGCGGUUUGAGAUGGACAUGCGUUGUAUUAGCUAGUUGGUGAGGUAACGGCUCACCAUGGCGACGAUGUCUAGGGGAACUGAGAGGUUAAUCCCCCACACUGGUACUGAGACACGGACCAGACUCCUACGGGAGGCAGCAGUGAGGAAUAUUGGACAAUGGAUGGAGAUCUGAUCCAGCCAUGCCGCGUGCAGGAUGACGGCCCUAUGGGUCUUAAACUGCUUUUGUACGGGAGCAAUAAGUUCUACGUGUAGGAUGAUGAGAGUACCGUACGAAUAAGCAUCGGCUAACUCCGUG
This 475-nucleotide ribosomal RNA is filed under the name uncultured bacterium. RNAcentral's name for it is "bacterial SSU rRNA". It matches the Rfam family "Bacterial small subunit ribosomal RNA", at positions 43 to 507 of the family's 1533-position model. The record is from RNAcentral.